Molecule: ribosomal RNA, 719 nt
Filed under: Stenotrophomonas sp.
Lineage: Bacteria; Pseudomonadati; Pseudomonadota; Gammaproteobacteria; Lysobacterales; Lysobacteraceae
Description: bacterial SSU rRNA
Rfam family: Bacterial small subunit ribosomal RNA
Source: RNAcentral
UGCAGUCGACGGCAGCACAGUAAGAGCUUGCUCUUAUGGGUGGCGAGUGGCGGACGGGUGAGGAAUACAUCGGAAUCUACCUUUUCGUGGGGGAUAACGUAGGGAAACUUACGCUAAUACCGCAUACGACCUUCGGGUGAAAGCAGGGGACCUUCGGGCCUUGCGCGGAUAGAUGAGCCGAUGUCGGAUUAGCUAGUUGGCGGGGUAAAGGCCCACCAAGGCGACGAUCCGUAGCUGGUCUGAGAGGAUGAUCAGCCACACUGGAACUGAGACACGGUCCAGACUCCUACGGGAGGCAGCAGUGGGGAAUAUUGGACAAUGGGCGCAAGCCUGAUCCAGCCAUACCGCGUGGGUGAAGAAGGCCUUCGGGUUGUAAAGCCCUUUUGUUGGGAAAGAAAAGCAGUCGAUUAAUACUCGGUUGUUCUGACGGUACCCAAAGAAUAAGCACCGGCUAACUUCGUGCCAGCAGCCGCGGUAAUACGAAGGGUGCAAGCGUUACUCGGAAUUACUGGGCGUAAAGCGUGCGUAGGUGGUUGUUUAAGUCUGUUGUGAAAGCCCUGGGCUCAACCUGGGAAUUGCAGUGGAUACUGGGCGACUAGAGUGUGGUAGAGGGUAGUGGAAUUCCCGGUGUAGCAGUGAAAUGCGUAGAGAUCGGGAGGAACAUCCAUGGCGAAAGGCAGCUACCUGGACCAACACUGACACUGAGGCACGAAAGCGUG